Non-coding RNA from Mycena crocata, 89 nucleotides. The record is from the annotation of a GenBank genome assembly. Lineage: Eukaryota; Fungi; Basidiomycota; Agaricomycetes; Agaricales; Mycenaceae.
GUCCCCGUAGAUCAUGGUCGAUCGUCCCGCUACCAUUAAGCAUCGGAGCAGUGCUUUGGGAAGUGGCGGUUCGAUUCCGCCCGGGGACG